Molecule: small nucleolar RNA, 151 nt
Organism: Ochotona princeps (American pika)
Lineage: Eukaryota; Metazoa; Chordata; Mammalia; Lagomorpha; Ochotonidae
Gene: SNORA74
Rfam family: Small nucleolar RNA SNORA74
About the family: U19 belongs to the H/ACA class of snoRNAs. snoRNAs bind a number of proteins (including dyskerin, Gar1p and Nop10p in the case of the H/ACA class) to form snoRNP complexes. This class are thought to guide the sites of modification of uridines to pseudouridines by forming direct base pairing interactions with substrate RNAs.
Source: Ensembl
CCCAGCUGUAGGCAGCUGCCUACGCUGCCUUGUACCUAGGCAAGUGUUACACUGCUGGGAGAAAAACAAUCAAGACUGGAAGACAUUCUGGGCCUGGUUAAUGCCAACUCUGUGUUAAUUAUAGCAGUGUACAAGUAUAGUUGCCCAUUGU